Molecule: unclassified non-coding RNA, 3127 nt
Filed under: Hevea brasiliensis (rubber tree)
Lineage: Eukaryota; Viridiplantae; Streptophyta; Magnoliopsida; Malpighiales; Euphorbiaceae
Source: RNAcentral
GGCUUUUGCCUUGCAAUCUUGAAAAUUUGGUUGUAGAAUAUUGUUCUAAUAUGAAGGAGUUGCGAAGUGGGUUGAGCAAUCUCAAAUCUCUCAAAGAUUUGACAAUCCGCUCAUGUGGAAGUUUAGUCUCCCUUCCAGCAAGGGGUUUGCCGUGCAGCUUGAUACGUGUUAGUAUUAAAGACUGUGAUUCUUUGGAGUGUCUGCCGGAGGGAAUUGUGCAUCGCCGUAAUUACCGUAACGAGACAUCCCAUCUUGAGAAGUUGCAUAUCAGUAAAUGUAAAUCUCUCAGGUCCUCCCCAGAUGGCGAGUUUCCUGAUUCCCUAAGGACUCUUCAAAUUCACAACUGGACGGCACAAUCAUUAAACUCGCUGUGUUAUGGGCUUUCUCGUCUUACAGAAUUACACAUAUGGAACUGUCCUCAAUUAGAGUCGUUUCCAAGGACUGAAUUGCUCAUCCCCACUCUUAUCUCUUUAUCAAUUAGGUGGUGUGAAAGAUUGAGGUCUCUAUCCAGUCAUAUGCAAAGCCUCCAUCGUCUCCAACAUUUAAAAAUAUUUGGAUGUCAUCAAUUAGAGUUGUUCCCGGAGAUUGGAUUACCCAACACUAAGCUUGUCUCUUUCAAAAUUGGGUAUUGUGAAAAUUUGAGGUCUCUACCUAAUCAGAUGCAAAACCUCACUUCCCUUCGAUAUCUGCAGAUAAAAGAUUGUAGAGGUGUGGAAUUCUUAAAAUGGUGUUUACCACCAAACCUAUCUGACCUAUCGAUCAAUGGAUGCGAGAAUCUGAAACAGCCAAUGCUAGAGUGGGAACUCCACAGACUCACCUCUCUUACAAAAUUGGUCAUCGGUAACAUCAAGUCAACUGAAGAUAUUAUUUCCUUUCCAGAUGAUGACGGAUUACUGCUUCCCACUUCUCUAACCGUCCUCAAAAUCUCUCUCAAGAAUCUGAAAUCCAUAUCCAUGGGUAUCCAAAACCUCACAUCUCUUGAAAAAUUAGAAAUUUCGUCAUGCCCAAAACUCCAGUCCUUCCCAGCUGAGGGCUUCCCUGCUACUCUUGAACUCCUAGAUAUUUCCGGCUGUCCUCUACUGCGAGACCGUUGCUUAAAAUAUACAGGGGGAGAUUAUUGGCCUAUCAUUUCUCAUAUCCCCAGUGUUUGGAUACCCGAUUAAUGCAGGCUCUGCUGCACUCCAACAAUCAGGAUCAUCUCUUGAGAGAAUGUCCUGUUUCUUCUAAAAGUUAUGCUGCCUGAAACUUUUACCUAAAUAUGAUUCUAGCUGUUCUGCUUUGGAAUCUAUCCUGGGUUUUUGGCCCAUCUAACUCCGAUAUUGCAAGUCCAAAUCAUACGAGCCAGUGGUGCUGUCCAAAUCUAUACAGAGAUCAAAAUGAUCUGGAUAAGUAUGAAAAAUGGAAGAUGUGAAACUCUGCUGCCCUUGAGUUCUUCUGAGGAAAAUUUGCCUGAGCUUGCAUACGAUUUUAUCUUCUGUAUAAAUUUUGAGUCCCUAUUUUUAAUUUGAGAAAAAUAGGAAUGGAAACUUGAGAUACCAACCUAGUGGCCUCAUUGGAGUUGCAACUUUAUGUCAUGGUGCACUGCCAGUAGGCACAAAAUGGAUGGACAACACUACUAUUGCAGGCAGCUAAUGUUGGGGAUAUGUUUUUCUUUUCGAUUUAUUUGUACGUUAAUCAUGAGAAGAGAACAAAAGAAGUUGCGCCUAUGGUGAUGAUGAACCAUUGGAAAGCAGAGUGUGCUUAGGUCUCUUUGUGGAUGCAUUUAAAUUAGGCCUCUGUAUCUCGAAUUUUUGGACCAAGAGGGGCUUCAAUAACUCACCUCUCUCGAAAAGCUGGAAAUUAUUUGCUGCAAAAGGCUCUGUACCUUGCCAGAGGGGCUACCUUCCUCUUUAUUUUCUCUAACUAUCAAGGAAUGUCCACGGCUAAAAGGAAAACUCCAGAAUAAAAGAGGAAGAAAUUGGUCCAGAAUUGCUGAUUUUCAUAGCAUAUAUAUCGAUGAGGAAGAAUCUAAUUAACAACCUAGAAGAGAUGAUAAUCUUGUUUGCAGAAACAUCUGAUUUUCCUUGCAUAUUCAAAGUUUACCUCAAAGCUUUCAAAGGUACAACUCGUAAAGUUUGUAUGUGCUAUUAACAUUAAUUCCGUUGUCCAUUCUAAAUUUAUAUGAAAUCUGUGGCGGGAUUCCAAACCUGAUAUGCUUCAUGAGUGGCUGUUGACUGUAAUUUAUUCUUUGUUCACCAGUUAGUGGAAUUGAAAGUAUGAUUAUUUUUUUCAUUGUUGUUGCUACCAUGUCCAUGUGUUCUAUUUUGCAUCUAAAGAUUUCAAUCUGGAAAUGCAGAACUCCAAUCGGACAUGUUGAGCAUCUCCACAUUACAAAUGCUAUAUACAUUGUUUUUGCCUUUAUAGAGGACCCAUCAAUAUGCUGUCAACUGAAUUUCAAAUUUGUUCUUGCACGAAAAUAUCAAAGAAUAGAUAACCGCUGAGCUUGGCCUGAGGUAUGAUCUUUCUUCAUGCUGGUCACAACAUGAGUAUGCACAUCUAUUUGCGGUUAAGAGCACUUCAUUUCCUGAGUUGGAUUGGCGCUCUGCCUCUUGCCUAUGGUGUCCUGCAUUUACAUCUCCCACAUCCAAUCAUUUCAACGAGGUGCUUGGUGUCUUAAUUUGGUGGAAUUCACCACGACGAAAGAAAAAAAAAAAAACCGAACAGCUGUCAUAAGGAGUCCAAGGGAAAGAAACGAUUGCUGGCAGAACAUAGUAGCAGCUUUUUAUAUUUCUGUUUUCUCAAUGGAGUUUUCCAAAUGCAAUUUCCUUUAUGUCUAGUUCAUUGGUAUCCCCCCAAGUUUCUACAUGUUUAAACAGUACAGAUGAGUGGUAGUGUGAUGGUAGCAGAAGACUUGGCCCUCUGCUAUGGCUUUGCUUGUUUCCUUGUCUGAUUUUUUUCUCUGAUGGAUCAUGAACAUAUGUUGAUAUGAAUGGAUGGGAGCUUAAUUGUACAACAAAAUUGCUACAGCUCCAAAAUUCACAGUUUUUUCUCUACUUUGCCCUUGCAUGUACUGACAUGUGAAAAAACCAGUAUCUUGACGAGAAUACCCUUACAUUUAUACAAAUUUACACUAAAGUCACAUGAUUUU